This 274-nucleotide ribosomal RNA is filed under the name uncultured bacterium. RNAcentral describes it as "partial 16S ribosomal RNA". It matches the Rfam family "Bacterial small subunit ribosomal RNA", at positions 523 to 796 of the family's 1533-position model. The record is from RNAcentral.
AUACGGAGGGUGCAAGCGUUGUUCGGAUUUACUGGGCGUAAAGCGCACGUAGGCGGUAUAUCAAGUUAGGCGUGAAAGCCCCGGGCUCAACCCGGGAACUGCGCUUAUGACUGAUAAACUAGAGUCCGGGAGAGGGUGGCGGAAUUCCCAGUGUAGAGGUGAAAUUCGUAGAUAUUGGGAAGAACACCAGUUGCGAAGGCGGCCACCUGGACCGGUACUGACGCUGAGGUGCGAAAGCGUGGGGAGCAAACAGGAUUAGAAACCCCAGUAGUCC